CCGGCUUGANUGCGGUAGGGGAGACUGGAACUCCNGGUGUAGCGGUGGAAUGCGCAGAUAUCAGGAAGAACACCGGUGGCGAAGGCGGGUCUCUGGGCCGUUACUGACGCUGAGGAGCGAAAGCGUGGGGAGCGAACAGGAUUAGAUACCCUGGUAGUNCACGCCGUAAACGUUGGGCACUAGGUGUGGGGGGCCUUUUCCGGNUCUUCCGCGCCGUAGCUAACGCAUUAAGUGCCCCGCCUGGGGAGUACGGCCGCAAGGCUAAAACUCAAAGGAAUUGACGGGGGCCCGCACAAGCGGCGGAGCAUGCGGAUUAAUUCGAUGCAACGCGAAGAACCUUACCAAGGCUUGACAUGUGCCGGUCGGCUCCGGAGACGGGGUUUCCUCCUUGUGGGGCCGGUUCACAGGUGGUGCAUGGUUGUCGUCAGCUCGUGUCGUGAGAUGUUGGNUUAAGUCCCGCAACGAGCGCAACCCUUGUCCCGUGUUGCCAGCACGUUGUGGUGGGGACUCGCGGGAGACUGCCGGGGUCAACUCGGAGGAAGGUGGGGAUGACGUCAAAUCAUCAUGCCCCUUAUGUCUUGGGCUUCACGCAUGCUACAAUGGCCGGUACAGAGGGCUGCGAUACCGUGAGGUGGAGCGAAUCCCUUAAAGCCGGUCUCAGUUCGGAUCGGUGUC
Molecule: ribosomal RNA, 675 nt
Filed under: uncultured bacterium
Lineage: Bacteria
Description: bacterial SSU rRNA
Rfam family: Bacterial small subunit ribosomal RNA
Source: RNAcentral